AGGUAUCAAAAAGCCUCACUUCAAUGAGAAAACUCAAUGCCCAAGUCUGCAAGAGCCAGUAGAACAUUCUCUGUGCCUGCUUUGCCCAGAACACUGCCCUCUCAGGACCUGUCCAACAGCACUUCUGCUGGUCUCAGAUCCAGGGGCCAGUGCCUCUGACUCCACUCAACUCUCCUGGAGGAUGUCCUGAUUUUGCUCACAGAUCAUUGUGAUGUCACUACCCAGAAUAGCAAAACAAGUAGGUCGUUUCAUGGGAUUUGAGUCUGAGACAUUAAUUGCCUGUAGAUAACCAAUGACCUCCGGGUGGAUAAAUACGGGAUGCAUCGCACAGUCCUCACAGCGCCAGAUAUUUCAGGUUUACCCAACAUUUUACUUUUCUUCUUCCAUAUGUCUGGAGCAUCUUAAACCAAGUUCAAGGCCUAAGACUCUACAGUGUACUCUGUUGGUUCAUACUGGUGAGAAAUCUGUCUGGGAUACCCUGACAGGCUGAUUUAUGUUGUUGUUGUCACCAUUAUUGUUGCUGCUGUUGUGAGGGAUUCCUGUUAGACCCCCCCAACCCCACUGCACAAGUGCUGGUCAUGCCUUCUCUAGUGGCCACUGGAACACGGCGCUGUUGGAGAAAGGCGCCCUCCCUCCUGCUGAUCACUCUGGGCUUAUUUGCCCUUAAUGGCUGUUCUGGAGAUUUAUUCUUUCUUCUUUUGAAUCUGUGAUAUAUUUACGGUAGUUUUUCCUAUUUUAGUCAAGUUUUGUCAAUGUUUUUAGUCUGAAUAUUGAUAAGUAAACCAUUACUAUGUGCAUCUCUCUUUUUUGAGGUCCGCCCUCCCUCCUUGACUUAGUGGCAUCCAAGAUCUGUUACACAACUCACACUGGGCCCUGACCAGGUUUACUUGGUAGCUGCUCCAUAUGCUGAUGUGAUUAAUGAACACGGCUGUCUGUAAAUUGUUUCGUAAUAUCAGGGCUCUCUGUGAUAAGGAGGGUUGGGUCAUAGGCUCUAGAUCCCAAUGACCUGAGAUGCUUUCAAACAUCUCCCCCUCCAAAAUAAAAUAAACACACAAAAAAUCUGUAGCUGUAAAACCGGUAAGAUUUGUGGGAUUAAACUGGGGAAAGUGAGGAGGUGAUGGGUGUGAGAACUCAGGGCAUGAUCAGCAAAGCCUGGGCCAGGCUCAUGGGACAUGUAGGGGACUGAGCAGAGGAGGACCUGGGUCUCCUGGCUCUCGCUGGCUGACUUCUCUUCUCCAUGCAUGCAUGAGGCAGGGAGGUGCUUGUAUAGGUUCUGGUGACAAAAUGAUUUGCUUGCAUUGGAAAACCAGUAAUAAAAUGGGUUUUUUUUUUUUUUUUGCAUCCAUACAGGUGGACUGACUAAAAAGCAUCAGUCCCUCUGGUUUUAGUAGCACAAGUGACAGCAGAAGCCAAAACCUGGGCUGGUGUUGCCUCCAGGCAGGGACAAAGGAGAGUUAGGUCAGACUGGGGAGUGGAUCUCACUCCCCAUGGACUAGGAUUGGCAUCGAGGUUGCAUGCAGCUGUUUGACAGUGACAAUCAGCCUCAUCCUCUGGCUGGAGCCUGCAGUAGUCAAGGAGGUUAUCUUUACAGACCUGGAUCUGGAGAUUGGUCUGGAACCCCUGCUGUCCUAGGACACACACUUAGGGGCUCUUUCUGGGAAUCCUUGAUGCUGAUUUCCAUUGUAACCUAUGUUUCUGUUGAUUCCCUUAAAGGAGACGGUUUGGGUCCUUCUAAAGAGCUUCCUGGGUUGGAUUGACUUCAUGUACAUAUUGGGGAGUUUCUGCUUGCUCAUAUUCCACUGUCCUUCUCUUACACUUUGUCUAAUUGGAAAGGUCCACUGAGAUACAAGAGGAGAGAAGAACUCAAGUGUGUACCUGUAGGCUCCAGAUCACACACCGGAGGGAGUCCCAUGUGCCCUGAGGGGGAUCGGCGGUAGGAAAGUCACAACUGUGGACUUCACCCAGCUUCCAUGCUGCAGGCUCACCAUUUUAGUCUCCCCUUCUUGCUGACAUCACAACCGUAGGUCCAGGCACCCAGCAAGUGUGUCAGGCCAGCUCUGUGCCUGGAAUUCCUCCUGGGAUGUUUCUCACAACAUCUUACAUCUUAAUCUUUUGUGCUUGAACACAGUGAGCCUCAGCCAGAUCUGAGCACAAGAGCCUGGGAGGGAGGGAAGGUCUCCGCUCUGACCCCUCACAGAGCAGAGUCCCUGCUGUGGAGGACUGUGUAUCUGCUGGAUGGACCCUGGGUUCCCACAAGAAGAAAUCUAGCAAAGGCUAAUUUCCCAUCUUUCAAGACAAACAGCCCAGCUACAAAGGCUCUCAUUUUAUCACACAUGGGUCACCAGGCAAAGAUGCAGUGUCAUCAUGAGAUUUGUAUUUUGUUUGGUUUGGUUUUCAUUUUGGUGUUUGUUUACCUGAGAUUGCAGGUAUAUUGACUGGAAAAUUGGGAAGACAGCCGAUGUGAACCAGAAACUACUUCCAGGCACAGCUACUGCGUCUACAAGUUACUGUAAAAUUGCAGAAGCGUCUAUUCCAAGUGCCUGAGUGGGCUGAGGUAUUUGUCCCAAUUUCCCAUCUGCCUGUGUCACUGUGAGAAGCCCUAUUGUGCACAAUCACACAGUAAUAAUCAGCCUCAUCCUCUGGCUGCUGCCCAGAGAUGAGCAGAAUCCUUGCGUUGGCCGAGGCAUCUUUGGAUCCAGAGAAGCAGCUGGGGACCUGGAGCCUGGUGCUUCUCUGAAUCUGUGUGGUAGUAGAGGAGAUGCUGGGAAGGGGACCGUGCAUUCUGCUGGUACCCACGCUGCUUUGAGUAAAAAUCCUCCCUGAGCCGCUGUGUAGGGUCCACAGGGCAGUCCCACAUCACCCCCUGCUGGUCAUAUGUGGAAAAAUGAAAAAUGCAAGAGAUAAUGUCUGUGAAAAACUGGUAAAAUACGUGCUUUUCUAGGAAGGAUCAAAAUUGGCUCUACUGGAAAUAAAACAAGUAAGCUUACCUAUUUUAAUACAGAAAUGCAAAAUGUUAUGGACCCAUUCCACAGAAUGACUGAACAGACAGAUAUUCUCACAUGGAAGCUCUAAAAACAUCAGAGACCAGAGGGUUCCAAUCUACUUGCUCUAUUUUUAAAUAACACUUAAAAGGAUGGAAAACUUACCAGUUCUUUUAGAGAUCAGUUAUAUCAGUUAUAAUGCAUGUUACAGUUAAAUUACAGAAAAAUAAAAAUGGCAGACGAACAACAUUAGAUAUUAUGCAAAUGUUCUAAAUAGAAUAUUAACGAAGAGAUCUCAAUACUAGAUUAAUGAAUUGAUGAAUUAUUAUCAAGUGUCAUUGAUUCCAAUGAUGCAAGUUGUAUGCAAUAGUAAGAAAUAUUUUAAUAUAACACACAAUAUAAAUAUAUAUAGAUAGAUAUGAUCAUAUGGUCUCAAAUGAUACUGGAAGGGAUUUUGACCAAAUUUAGCAUCAAUUCCUAAUAAAAGCCACAUAAAACUAAAAGCCACAAACAGAAACAUUUAUAAUACGGCCAGACACACUCUCUCACACACGUAUAAUGAAAUCCUAGUGGCAGCAUCUUAGUCAAUGGAGUGGUAAAGGGCAGCAUUUCCAAAAAGAUCAGCAAUAGGCAAAGGUGAUUCCCUUUGCCCAUGUACCUCCAUUAAUAUUCCACAGUAUUCUGCAAGCAUGAGAAAAUCCAAUUAAAGUAAUGAUAUCAAUGGUUUGGACAUAGAAUUCACGGGAACAAAGAAGUAGACAUUCUUAAUGAUCCAAAUGAACGUUGUGGCCUUAGAUACUCUGGUCCCAGUGCAGAAGUGACAGCAGAGAUCACCCCAGUGAGUGACUAGUCACUAACACUCACUAGUACUGGUAACAGGUAAUGACAGAGGCAUGUGAGUGGAACAGGGGGAGCAAAGGGGAGGUCUUGGUCCACCUGCCCAGCAGUGAAGAGCAUCUUGUAAGAUAUUAGGCAGUCACCUGAGGUCUGGGGUAAUCAUCUGCAUCCCACUCACACUGCAUCCCAAGUAACAUCAGUCAUCACACUUAUGGGGCUUCUGUCUCACAGCCAGAAUAAGCCACAUGCAGACUUCCAGGGCAGAAAGUGUGGACUUUCUGCCCAAGUGACCAACACACUGAGACAGGCAUUGUGAGUCUGGUGUCACAGCACCUGCUCCAUGUGGAACCAAGGAGAAGGCAGGUCCUGUGCCUAAAAUCUUGUAAAGGUCCCCUACCAGAAGCUGGAAGAACAAGACUUCCGGGUUUGGUUGAGGCACCACUGAGCUCUGUCUCCUGAGGGUCCACUGUGCGGACUCCGCCAACAAGCUGUGUCUUGUCUUCCCAGGAGCCCACUUCCUCCUUGGAAGUGCAUUGGGGCUCCUAAUGGUCUGUCAGCCCCACCUUGUUCAAGACUCCCUGAGGAAAAAGGAGGCGAUGACCUACAUUGGAAGCCAUCAGUUAGGAAGCCAAAACCAGGAGCUCACAGGGUCACGGGAAGCCUCACGGGUGAAGGCAAGUCCCACAUCAGUGAGGACACAGGUCGCCCAACUGCCCUGGAGCCCACUGAGUGGUUGAACAUCUGUCUGACCCAACACCUGCCUCUCCUAAGUCUGAGGACACUCCAUUGCUGCCCCUGCUGGUGACUGCCCAUCCCGCAGCCGCUGUGACAUCCCUAAGCACACCACGCAGAGUGUUCGAUUUUACAGCAGUCUUCCCCAACGUUACUCCCAAGAGAGUGGAAUGAGAAAGGCCUUCUAGGAUUACAUGGGGACAGUGAUGCUCUCACACCUGCACUUCUAUUUUCAUGAAAAACUAUAAUUAUUUUCAAACUGUCAGUCUCUGUCCAUUCCACCCUAGAGCUCCAACCUUGCCUGCUGUGGCAGACACUGACCUCGGUGUGUGAGAGGACAGUGAAAGGGCGCAACAGGGACACACCUAUGCUGACACGGCCCUGUGUGCAUGUGGGUUGUGCACAUGGCUCUGUGUUUUCCUGUGGGUUGUGCACAUGGCUCUGUGUGCAUGUGGGGCGUGCAGAUGGCACAUUGUGCAUGUGGGGUGUGCCCUGGGAUAUUGGGACAGAGGAGCCUGGACAAAGCUGUGAUAUGUAAGCUUGGAUCUGUGGGAUGAGUCAAGUGAUCACCCUGGGAAAGACUGGAAGAGCCUUCAAAUCAGAGGUCAGGUCAUGUACCGAGGUCAGGAAAAGAGGGGAGGCUGGUUGCUGGUGAUGCUGGUGGAUGGCCACUUGAGGUCGGAGAGAUGGACCCUCUAAGCAGGGGAACCCAGCACCUCCAAAUGGAAUAGAAAAGAAAAAUCUCGAAAAAUUAAUAUUCUCUUACUUAAACCUUGAAAUCCUUUAUUACACAUUUUUAAGGUGUAUGAAUGUGCAUCUUCAUAUAGCCACAAAUGCAUUCACAAUGAUGUUGCCUAUACAUUUGUUAAUCAUGCAGAUGAAGAAAUUUUCACUUAUUGUAUUAUUUUUAAUACUCCUGAAUAGGCCACACAAUUGUCAGCUGGAACCCAGUCCCUGUGCUUUCCUUGGCAGUGAAUGCUGCUCUGGGAGGUCCCCAUGCACUGGGUGAGCCUGGGGAGCUCAGGGUUUGUGUCUCCUUCCCCACUGGCCUGGGGCCCCACGUGUGCACUGAGGCUGCUGUCCCACAAGGAGCAGUAAUAAUCAGCCUCGGUCCAGGCUGGAGCCCAGAGAUGCUCAGGGGGCCACACUGCCUCACCUGGAGCCAGAGAAUCUCUCGGAGACCCCAGAGGCCCAGAUGUUAUUCCUGCUGGUCAGGAGUGUGGGGACAUGGCCUUGGGGUUGCUGCUGCAGCCAUGCUUCUCCCUCAUGGCCUACAUUUUUGCUCUUUCCAGUGCAGGUGAGUGUGGCCGUCUGUCCUGGGGACUUGGUCACUGAGGGCGGCUGAGUCAGCCCUGCCUGGGCCACAGACACUGUAGGGCACAGAGAGGAGUGUGAGGAGAGGAGCCCAGGGCACGGGAGAGACCCAGACUCUGAGCCCUAGAGCUGUGCUGUGGAGACGGAGCUGCCCUAAGUCUCUCUGGAUCUCCUGAAACUUUCAUCGGGGAUGGAGUGGAUACACUCAAAUCAGCCCUUGUUCUCUGUCUGCCUCUGGCCUCCCUGCCCUGGUCCUCACAGGGAGAUGGAGGUAGAGGAAGGAUGAGCUGACCCAGGGGGUGGAGGCCCUGGCUCUUGAUGACCCUGGGUCCUGGAGGUCAGCACAGCCCAGUGAGCACACUGAUGGCUGAACCCCUGGAGCCCUGGGUGGCUUCCCAGCUGGGAGGGGCCAUCUCAGGAUUGUCCCACACUGUCCCACAUGCCCUCAGACCCCACCCCACCCGGCCUCUCUGACACACCUGGGCCCUCCGGUUAGAGGAGGACUGUUGUCCCGAUGCUCUUCAUGAAGCUGCUCCUGGUGUCAGAGAGGGACCUGGGCAGCUGGGAUUCUAGACACCGGGGGUGUGGGUUGAGGGAUGUCCCCGUCACUACAAAGAGGCCACAGCAGCUUGCCUUUCAGCUGCAUCAGCAGAGUAUGCACAGAAUUUUAUUAGAUCAUCGAUUAUAAGUCCAAAAAUGGAGAAUAUUUUCUCUUUCAGUUUUUCAUGAGAAUUAGAUCCCAACAAUUUAAUACACUUAUUUUCCUAACACUGUCAUCACCAGGAGCUUGGGAUCGUGUGAGAUCCGUGUCGGCUCCAGUGCAGUCUCUAGGUCUUUCUUGUUUCUGACAUGACUGGAGUCAGCCUCCCUCUGUCCCCAUCACUGUCUCUCUGGAGAGACCGGGUGCCCUGGAAAAGGAGCUCCUGCCUGUGUGGACAUGAGCAGGCAGAGGGUGCAUCGAUGGGAAUGGCUCAGUCUACAGGGGAUCAGAGGAACGGACAUGCUUAGAUCGACAGACCCAUGUAGGGGGCUCAGACCCUCAGAUGCUGGUGACAGAGGUGAUGUCAAUCACAGAGGAGUGAAGGCUGGAGCCCACAGAUGGUCAAAGAGACCACGUUGCCUGACUUGGAGACAGAGAAUCAUCUGGAAUCUCUCAGGGCCUGGUACUUCCAAGAGUCAGAGUUUUGGGGCAGCACCACUGACAGCUGGAACCAACACACACUAUGGGAUCCAAUGUUGCUGUUCCCGGAGCAGGAGAUGGUGACCUCCUGGUCCAGGGUCCCUGACACCGAGGAUGGCUGGGUCAGCAAAGACCGUGCCCAGGACCCUGAAAUGAGGGACACAGAGUCACAGAGGUGAGAGUCAGGGCCCUUCCCACACCCCAGGC
Molecule: long non-coding RNA, 7251 nt
Filed under: Equus caballus (horse)
Lineage: Eukaryota; Metazoa; Chordata; Mammalia; Perissodactyla; Equidae
Description: lncRNA (ENSECAG00000051766.1)
Source: RNAcentral